GCGCAAACGUUUCCUGCGCAAGUUUGAAUCUCUCAGUCAGGGGGGAGAUUGACUGACUGACUGUUUACUCGCCACCAAACAGUAAUUUACCCUGAAACCUUUUACAGUUUAGCACAAACGUUUCCCGCGCAAGUUUGGAUCUUUACCAUUGAGGGUGGCUGACUGUUCUCUACCAACCAUCAUGCACACGCAAAAACUUUAAAGAUAAGUAUGAACGUGCCCAGAGCAGUUUUCGAUCUUUACCAUUAAGGAGGCUGACUGACUAUCCUCUACCACCCAUCGUUAACACAACAAAAACUAAAGAAAUGUUACUCCAUAUGGACCUAUUCAUUUACUCAUUAUGCUGUGAGUACACCACAGUUUUAUCAGGGAAAAAAUGUAUAUUUGUGUGUUUCUCACUGCUUGGCAAGGACAGAUGUGGCCCUGUUAAAAAUGUUUAAAUGUCGUUUGGUUUAAGGAACAGCACACUGAUUUUGUUUUAAAUAUUCCUGUUUGGACAGUCUGUUAAAGUCAUAAAGCAGGGGUGGGGAACCCUGGUCCUGGAGGGCCACUGUCCUGCAGAGUUUAGUUCCAACCCUAAUUAAACACACCUGAAAAAUCUAAUUCAAGUCUUCAGGAUUACUUGAAAAUGAAAUUCAGGUGUGUUUGAUUAGGGUUGGAACUAAACUCUGCAGGACAGUGGCCCUCCAGGACCCAGGGUUCCCCACUCCUGUCAUAAAGGAAUACAUGAUAUAUUUCAUAAGUAAAGUGUAAAUGUAAUAUUAGUUUUUAAUGUUGUGAAUUUGGACUGAACAGCACACUUCUGUUUUAUAUCUAAACCUUUUGUAAAAUAAAUGAUUGUUCAAUAAACUGUGUAUUUUAUCUUUUCUGUUAUCAUUUUUUUUACUAAUGUUUAAAAUGUACCU
Long non-coding RNA from Paramisgurnus dabryanus, 905 nucleotides. RefSeq lists it as uncharacterized. NCBI's taxonomy places the organism in Eukaryota, Metazoa, Chordata, Actinopteri, Cypriniformes, Cobitidae. The record is from RefSeq and is a predicted model, not a curated record.